ACAGAGGGUGCAAGCGUUAAUCGGAGUUACUGGGCGUAAAGGGCGCGUAGGCUGAUGUUUAAGUUAAUUGUGAAAUCCCUGGGCUUAACCUAGGAAUUGCAGUUAAUACUGGACAUCUAGAGUAUGGUAGAGGAAAGUGGAAUUCUCGGUGUAGUGGUUAAAUACGUAGAUAUCGAGAAGAACACCGGUGGCGAAGGCGACUUUCUGGACCAAUACUGACGCUGAGGCGCGAAAGCGUGGGGAGCAAACAG
RNAcentral lists this ribosomal RNA (251 nucleotides) under uncultured prokaryote. RNAcentral describes it as "partial 16S ribosomal RNA". It matches the Rfam family "Bacterial small subunit ribosomal RNA", at positions 525 to 775 of the family's 1533-position model. The record is from RNAcentral.